This 390-nucleotide ribosomal RNA is filed under the name uncultured bacterium. RNAcentral describes it as "bacterial SSU rRNA". It matches the Rfam family "Bacterial small subunit ribosomal RNA", at positions 97 to 520 of the family's 1533-position model. The record is from RNAcentral.
GGCAGACGGGUGAGUAACGCGUGGGAACGUACCCUUUGGUUCGGGAUAACCCAGGGAAACUUGGGCUAAUACCGGAGGGAAGCCGGAAACGGGAAAGGUUUACUGCCGAAGGAUCGGCCCGCGUCGGAUUAGCUAGUUGGUGGGGUAAAGGCCUACCAAGGCGACGAUCCGUAGCUGGUCUGAGAGGAUGAUCAGCCACACUGGGACUGAGACACGGCCCAGACUCCUACGGGAGGCAGCAGUGGGGAAUAUUGGACAAUGGGCGCAAGCCUGAUCCAGCCAUGCCGCGUGGGUGAAGAAGGCCUUAGGGUUGUAAAGCCCUUUCAGCGGGGACGAUAAUGACGGUACCCGCAGAAGAAGCUCCGGCUAACUUCGUGCCAGCCGCCGCGG